This is a long non-coding RNA of Zophobas morio, 284 nucleotides long. RefSeq lists it as uncharacterized. The record is from RefSeq and is a predicted model, not a curated record. Lineage: Eukaryota; Metazoa; Arthropoda; Insecta; Coleoptera; Tenebrionidae. The transcript has 3 exons.
GUUCUUUGCUUGCUGUUGCCUAUGGGAAAUCUAUAACGCUUUGGGAUUCAGACCUGAACACUUUAAAAGGCUCCUUCUGUUAUGUUCCUCCGGGGCAAACUAUCAGACAACUCAAGUUCAUACGGGCAGCUCCUUAUAUUGUUUCUAUUACCGAGUCCAUGUGUUACGUGUGGAACUUAUUAACUUGUUCGGUUUGGUGGAGUUGUGAACUGCACGCUACACGACUUAUCUCUAGUUUUCAGAACAGCGCAUUUGCAGUAUCUGCGUAUAUUUCUCCUUCGAAA